RNAcentral lists this ribosomal RNA (1497 nucleotides) under uncultured bacterium. RNAcentral's name for it is "16S ribosomal RNA". It matches the Rfam family "Bacterial small subunit ribosomal RNA". The record is from RNAcentral.
AGAGUUUGAUCCUGGCUCAGAUUGAACGCUGGCGGCAGGCCUAACACAUGCAAGUCGAGCGGAUGAAGGGAGCUUGCUCCUGGAUUCAGCGGCGGACGGGUGAGUAAUGCCUAGGAAUCUGCCUGGUAGUGGGGGAUAACGUCCGGAAACGGGCGCUAAUACCGCAUACGUCCUGAGGGAGAAAGUGGGGGAUCUUCGGACCUCACGCUAUCAGAUGAGCCUAGGUCGGAUUAGCUAGUUGGUGGGGUAAAGGCCUACCAAGGCGACGAUCCGUAACUGGUCUGAGAGGAUGAUCAGUCACACUGGAACUGAGACACGGUCCAGACUCCUACGGGAGGCAGCAGUGGGGAAUAUUGGACAAUGGGCGAAAGCCUGAUCCAGCCAUGCCGCGUGUGUGAAGAAGGUCUUCGGAUUGUAAGGCACUUUAAGUUGGGAGGAAGGGCAGUAAGUUAAUACCUUGCUGUUUUGACGUUACCAACAGAAUAAGCACCGGCUAACUUCGUGCCAGCAGCCGCGGUAAUACGAAGGGUGCAAGCGUUAAUCGGAAUUACUGGGCGUAAAGCGCGCGUAGGUGGUUCAGCGAGUUGGAUGUGAAAUCCCCGGGCUCAACCUGGGAACUGCAUCCAAAACUACUGAGCUAGAGUACGGUAGAGGGUGGUGGAAUUUCCUGUGUAGCGGUGAAAUGCGUAGAUAUAGGAAGGAACACCAGUGGCGAAGGCGACCACCUGGACUGAUACUGACACUGAGGUGCGAAAGCGUGGGGAGCAAACAGGGAUAGAUACCCUGGUAGUCCACGCCGUAAACGAUGUCGACUAGCCGUUGGGAUCCUUGAGAUCUUAGUGGCGCAGCUAACGCGAUAAGUCGACCGCCUGGGGAGUACGGCCGCAAGGUUAAAACUCAAAUGAAUUGACGGGGGCCCGCACAAGCGGUGGAGCAUGUGGUUUAAUUCGAAGCAACGCGAAGAACCUUACCUGGCCUUGACAUGCUGAGAACUUUCCAGAGAUGGAUUGGUGCCUUCGGGAACUCAGACACAGGUGCUGCAUGGCUGUCGUCAGCUCGUGUCGUGAGAUGUUGGGUUAAGUCCCGUAACGAGCGCAACCCUUGUCCUUAGUUACCAGCACCUCGGGUGGGCACUCUAAGGAGACUGCCGGUGACAAACCGGAGGAAGGUGGGGAUGACGUCAAGUCAUCAUGGCCCUUACGGCCAGGGCUACACACGUGCUACAAUGGUCGGUACAAAGGGUUGCCAAGCCGCGAGGUGGAGCUAAUCCCAUAAAACCGAUCGUAGUCCGGAUCGCAGUCUGCAACUCGACUGCGUGAAGUCGGAAUCGCUAGUAAUCGUGAAUCAGAAUGUCACGGUGAAUACGUUCCCGGGCCUUGUACACACCGCCCGUCACACCAUGGGAGUGGGUUGCUCCAGAAGUAGCUAGUCUAACCGCAAGGGGGACGGUUACCACGGAGUGAUUCAUGACUGGGGUGAAGUCGUAACAAGGUAACC